UGACCUCAAAUCGGGUGAGACUACCCGCUGAACUUAAGCUAAAA
RNAcentral lists this ribosomal RNA (44 nucleotides) under fungal sp. MR48. RNAcentral's name for it is "partial 28S ribosomal RNA". The record is from RNAcentral. Lineage: Eukaryota; Fungi.